This 253-nucleotide ribosomal RNA is filed under the name uncultured bacterium. Its description in RNAcentral is "partial 16S ribosomal RNA". It matches the Rfam family "Bacterial small subunit ribosomal RNA", at positions 524 to 776 of the family's 1533-position model. The record is from RNAcentral.
UACGAAGGGUGCAAACGUUGCUCGGAAUUAUUGGGCGUAAAGCGCACGUAGGCGGCUUGGCAAGUCGGAUGUGAAAUCCCUCGGCUCAACCAAGGAAGUGCAUCCGAAACUGCUGAGCUUGAGUACUUAAGAGGAUCGCGGAAUUCCCGGUGUAGAGGUGAAAUUCGUAGAUAUCUGGAGGAACAUCGGUGGCGAAGGCGGCAUCCUGGACCGGUAUUGACGCUGAGGCGCGAAAGCCAGGGGAGCAAACGGG